AAAUUGAAGAGUUUGAUCAUGGCUCAGAUUGAACGCUGGCGGCAGGCCUAACACAUGCAAGUCGAGCGGUAGCACAGAGAGCUUGCUCUCAGGUGACGAGCGGCGGACGGGUGAGUAAUGUCUGGGAAACUGCCUGAUGGAGGGGGAUAACUACUGGAAACGGUAGCUAAUACCGCAUAACGUCGCAAGACCAAAGUGGGGGACCUUCGGGCCUCAUGCCAUCAGAUGUGCCCAGAUGGGAUUAGCUAGUAGGUGGGGUAACGGCUCACCUAGGCGACGAUCCCUAGCUGGUCUGAGAGGAUGACCAGCCACACUGGAACUGAGACACGGUCCAGACUCCUACGGGAGGCAGCAGUGGGGAAUAUUGCACAAUGGGCGCAAGCCUGAUGCAGCCAUGCCGCGUGUGUGAAGAAGGCCUUCGGGUUGUAAAGCACUUUCAGCGGGGAGGAAGGCG
Molecule: ribosomal RNA, 454 nt
Filed under: Klebsiella pneumoniae
Lineage: Bacteria; Pseudomonadati; Pseudomonadota; Gammaproteobacteria; Enterobacterales; Enterobacteriaceae
Description: bacterial SSU rRNA
Rfam family: Bacterial small subunit ribosomal RNA
Source: RNAcentral